CUGCCCCUACGGGGGGCAGCAGUGAGGAAUAUUGGUCAAUGGGCGCAGGCCUGAACCAGCCAAGUAGCGUGAAGGAUGACUGCCCUAUGGGUUGUAAACUUCUUUUGUCGGAGAACAAAACCCGGGACGAGUCCCGGACUGCGUGUAUCCGAAGAAAAAGCAUCGGCUAACUCCGUGCCAGCAGCCGCGGUAAUACGGAGGAUGCGAGCGUUAUCCGGAUUUAUUGGGUUUAAAGGGUGCGCAGGCGGACCAUCAAGUCAGCGGUAAAAUCGUGGGGCCCAACCCCAUCCCGCCGUUGAAACUGG
Molecule: ribosomal RNA, 305 nt
Filed under: uncultured bacterium
Lineage: Bacteria
Description: bacterial SSU rRNA
Rfam family: Bacterial small subunit ribosomal RNA
Source: RNAcentral